Molecule: small nuclear RNA, 110 nt
Organism: Heteronotia binoei (common prickly gecko)
Lineage: Eukaryota; Metazoa; Chordata; Lepidosauria; Squamata; Gekkonidae
Source: RefSeq, a predicted model, not a curated record
GUAUACCUCGCAACGGCAGCACAUAUAUUAAAACUGGAAUGAUGCAGAGAAGACUAGCACGGCCCCUGCACAAGGAUGACAAAUUCGUGAAGCAUUCCAUCCAGCAUCUU